This 284-nucleotide ribosomal RNA is filed under the name uncultured Lachnospiraceae bacterium. RNAcentral's name for it is "partial 16S ribosomal RNA". It matches the Rfam family "Bacterial small subunit ribosomal RNA", at positions 67 to 339 of the family's 1533-position model. The record is from RNAcentral. Lineage: Bacteria; Bacillati; Bacillota; Clostridia; Lachnospirales; Lachnospiraceae.
CGCUUUUGCGGAUUUCUUCGGAUUGAAGCAACUGUGACUGAGCGGCGGACGGGUGAGUAACGCGUGGGUAACCUGCCUCAUACAGGGGGAUAACAGUUGGAAACGGCUGCUAAUACCGCAUAAGCGCACAGUACCGCAUGGUGCAGGGGUAAAAACUCCGGUGGUAUGGGAUGGACCCGCGUCUGAUUAGCCAGUUGGCAGGGUAACGGCCUACCAAAGCGACGAUCAGUAGCCGGACUGAGAGGUUAACCCCCACAUUGGUACUGAGACACGGACCAAACUCC